RNAcentral lists this unclassified non-coding RNA (21 nucleotides) under Dictyostelium discoideum. The record is from RNAcentral. Lineage: Eukaryota; Evosea; Eumycetozoa; Dictyosteliales; Dictyosteliaceae.
UUCUUUAGCGAUGUUGUUACG